This 785-nucleotide ribosomal RNA is filed under the name uncultured marine bacterium. RNAcentral's name for it is "bacterial SSU rRNA". It matches the Rfam family "Bacterial small subunit ribosomal RNA", at positions 14 to 794 of the family's 1533-position model. The record is from RNAcentral.
UGAUCCUGGCUCAGAUUGAACGCUGGCGGCAGGCCUAACACAUGCAAGUCGAGCGGAUGAGGGGAGCUUGCUCCUUGAUUUAGCGGCGGACGGGUGAGUAAUGCCUAGGAAUCUGCCUGGUAGUGGGGGAUAACGUUCCGAAAGGAACGCUAAUACCGCAUACGUCCUACGGGAGAAAGCAGGGGACCUUCGGGCCUUGCGCUAUCAGAUGAGCCUAGGUCGGAUUAGCUAGUUGGUGAGGUAAUGGCUCACCAAGGCGACGAUCCGUAACUGGUCUGAGAGGAUGAUCAGUCACACUGGAACUGAGACACGGUCCAGACUCCUACGGGAGGCAGCAGUGGGGAAUAUUGGACAAUGGGCGAAAGCCUGAUCCAGCCAUGCCGCGUGUGUGAAGAAGGUCUUCGGAUUGUAAAGCACUUUAAGUUGGGAGGAAGGGCAUUAACCUAAUACGUUAGUGUUUUGACGUUACCGACAGAAUAAGCACCGGCUAACUUCGUGCCAGCAGCCGCGGUAAUACGAAGGGUGCAAGCGUUAAUCGGAAUUACUGGGCGUAAAGCGCGCGUAGGUGGUUCGUUAAGUUGGAUGUGAAAGCCCCGGGCUCAACCUGGGAACUGCAUCCAAAACUGGCGAGCUAGAGUACGGUAGAGGGUGGUGGAAUUUCCUGUGUAGCGGUGAAAUGCGUAGAUAUAGGAAGGAACACCAGUGGCGAAGGCGACCACCUGGACUGAUACUGACACUGAGGUGCGAAAGCGUGGGGAGCAAACAGGAUUAGAUACCCUGGUAGU